AGUGGCGAACGGGUGAGUAACACGUGAGCAACCAACCCCUUACAGUGGAAUAACAACGGGAAACCGUUGCUAAUACCGCAUAAUAUCGCUAUAUGGCAUCAUAUGGUGAUCAAAGAUUUAUCGGUGAGGGACGGGCUCGCGUCCGAUUAGGUAGUAGGUAAGGUAACGGCUUACCUAGCCGACGAUCGGUAGCCGGACUGAGAGGUCGAUCGGCCACACUGGGACUGAGACACGGCCCAGACUCCUACGGGAGGCAGCAGUGAGGAAUAUUGGACAAUGGAUGGAAAUCUGAUCCAGCCAUGCCGCGUGCAGGAAGACGGCCUUAUGGGUUGUAAACUGCUUUUAUACGGGAGCAAUAAGGGUUACGAGUAGUCCGAUGAGAGUACUGUAUGAAUAAGGAUCGGCUAACUCCGUGCCAGCAGCCGCGGUAAUACGGAGGAUCCGAGCGUUAUCCGGAAUUAUUGGGUUUAAAGGGUGCGUAGGCGGCCAUUUAAGUCAGCGGUGAAAUUUUGCAGCUUAACUGUAACAGUGCCGUUGAUACUGUUUGGCUAGGAUUUGGUUGUAGUGUGCGGAAUGUGUGGUGUAGCGGUGAAAUGCUUAGAUAUCACACAGAACACCGAUUGCGAAGGCAGCACACUAAGUCAUUAUUGACGCUGAGGCACGAAAGUGUGGGGAUCAAACAGGAUUAGAUACCCUGGUAGUCCACACUGUAAACGAUGAUAACUCGCUGUCGGCGAUACACAGUCGGUGGCCAAGCGAAAGCAUUAAGUUAUCCACCUGGGGAGUACGACCGCAAGGUUGAAACUCAAAGGAAUUGACGGGGGCCCGCACAAGCGGAGGAACAUGUGGUUUAAUUCGAUGAUACGCGAGGAACCUUACCCGGGCUCGAACGGUGCAUGAAUAUACGAGAGAUUGUAUAGUCCUUCGGGACAUGUAUCGAGGUGCUGCAUGGUUGUCGUCAGCUCGUGCCGUGAGGUGUCGGCUUAAGUGCCAUAACGAGCGCAACCCUCGUCAUUAGUUGCCAUCAGGUCAAGCUGGGGACUUUAAUGAGACUGCCACCGUAAGGUGUGAGGAAGGGGGGGAGGACGUCAAAUCAGCACGGCCCUUAUGUCCGGGGGGACACACGUGUUACAAUGGGAGGUACAGAGGGCAGCUAUCCGGUGACGGAAUGCUAAUCUCCAAAACCUUUCUCAGUUCGGAUUGGAGUCUGCAACUCGACUCCACGAAGGUGGAUUCGCUAGUAAUCGCGCAUCAGCCAUGGCGC
Molecule: ribosomal RNA, 1264 nt
Filed under: uncultured bacterium
Lineage: Bacteria
Description: bacterial SSU rRNA
Rfam family: Bacterial small subunit ribosomal RNA
Source: RNAcentral